GUGGGGAAUCUUGCACAAUGGGCGGAAGCCUGAUGCAGCGACGCCGCGUGGGGGACGAAUGCCCUCGGGUUGUAAACCCCUUUCGGCAGGGAAGAAGCGCAAGUGACGGUACCUGCAGAAGAAGCUCCGGCUAACUACGUGCCAGCAGCCGCGGUAAGACGUAGGGAGCGAGCGUUGUCCGGAUUCAUUGGGCGUAAAGCGCGCGUAGGCGGUUUGGCAAGUCGGAUGUGAAAUCCCGAGGCUCAACCUCGUGACUGCAUCCGAUACUGCCCGACUAGAGGUAGGUAGGGGAGAUCGGAAUUCCUGGUGUAGCGGUGAAAUGCGCAGAUAUCAGGAGGAACACCGGUGGCGAAGGCGGAUCUCUGGGCCUGACCUGACGCUGAGGCGCGAAAGCUAGGGGAGCGAACAGGAUUAGAUACCCUGGUAGUCC
RNAcentral lists this ribosomal RNA (430 nucleotides) under uncultured bacterium. Its description in RNAcentral is "partial 16S ribosomal RNA". It matches the Rfam family "Bacterial small subunit ribosomal RNA", at positions 354 to 796 of the family's 1533-position model. The record is from RNAcentral.